UACGAAGGGGGCUAGCGUUGUUCGGAAUUACUGGGCGUAAAGCGCACGUAGGCGGAUAUUUAAGUCAGGGGUGAAAUCCCACAGCUUAACUGUGGAACUGCCUUUGAAACUGUAAGCUGGAAUGCAAGAGGGGAUAGCGGAAUUGCUAAUGUAGAGGUGAAAUUCGUAGAUAUUAGCAGGAACACCGGUGGCGAAGGCGGCUAUCUGGAUUGCAAUUGACGCUGAGGCGCGAAAGCGUGGGAGCAAACAGG
Molecule: ribosomal RNA, 251 nt
Filed under: uncultured bacterium
Lineage: Bacteria
Description: partial 16S ribosomal RNA
Rfam family: Bacterial small subunit ribosomal RNA
Source: RNAcentral